GAGAAAGGGGACUUCGGUCUCUGAGUACAGUGGCGCACGGGUGCGUAACACGUAAGUAAUCUGCCCCGAACCCUGGGAUAACCCUCCGAAAGGAGGGCUAAGACUGGAUAGGGUCCCCGAGGUCAUGGCCGCGGGGGGAAAACGGGCCUCUGGUGCAUGCUCGUGGUUCGGGAUGAGCUUGCGGCCCAUUAGCUAGUUGGUAGGGUAAGGGCCUACCAAGGCGACGAUGGGUAGCUGGUCUGAGAGGAUGAUCAGCCACACUGGCACUGAGACACGGGCCAGACUCCUACGGGAGGCAGCAGUGGGGAAUUUUGCGCAAUGGGCGAAAGCCUGACGCAGUAACGCCGCGUGGAGGAUGAAGGCCUUCGGGUUGUAAACUCCUGUCAGGGGGAACGACGGGGAUGGGGGGACAACCCCUGUCGCCCAGACGGUACCUCCAAAGGAAGCCCCGGCUAAUUCCGUGCCAGCAGCCGCGGUAAUACGGAAGGGGCGAGCGUUG
RNAcentral lists this ribosomal RNA (499 nucleotides) under uncultured bacterium. RNAcentral describes it as "bacterial SSU rRNA". It matches the Rfam family "Bacterial small subunit ribosomal RNA", at positions 68 to 543 of the family's 1533-position model. The record is from RNAcentral.